CGCCCGCCGCCGCGCCCCACCUCCCCGACCAUGCGCCCGCCGUAGCGGCCCACCUCCCGGACACGCGCCCCAACCAGUCAAACCACACAUGCUCUGAAAUUUUCAGUUUUGUUGCUUUCACUUGUAGAGACAAGAGGAUUUAUUUUCCUGGAAGACAAUGGUAUCCCUCUAUUCUAUUGUAAAUUUCCUAAUCACACACUCAUAGAUCCAAGCCUCUGACCAUUUGUGCUUAAGAGGGAUCCAAGUCCAUGAUGCUAUUUUAGACUAGGCGAUAGAGGUUUUCUCAACUUUGGGAAGUUCUCCGCACCAUGGUCUUUAAUGACGAGGUGCUUCGGAGGGAUGAGAUUCUAGAUGGCAAAACAGUUGUUGGUGCUUGUUGUGAGUCGUUGCAUCUCACCAUAUCAGAAAUCUGCUCCGAAACAUUCUUUCGCAUCGCUUGAUCUAUGUAGUCCGCCAGGUCAUUUUCAUCUUCUCUUCAUUGUCCAACAUUACCGAACUAUCAAUCCUUUACAACAAGUGAUGUGGGAACAUUGAGCUUGCUUCAGUUUCGAGAUAGAAAAUGGUUGUCAUCGUCUUAACCAAACAUAUGGCUUUGGUGCGAGUUAAAUAAAUAUCACUAUUUAUACUAAACUUUAAUAUUUGUUUAUAAUACACUUUUUUCAUCUUACAAUCAUAGCUAAUUAUUAUGGUGAAUUUUAACAAUAUUUUAUAAUAGAAGUUACAUUUCUCAAUAAAAUACUCCUUAAACACAUUUAAAUCAAUUUGACAUAAAUAUGAUUAAAUAAGAAACUAGAAGAUAUCAUGUCUUCUUGGAUUUUUUGUGCUUGUAUUAAUGCGGCGUAUAUGCAUGUGUGUCGUUAACAAUCUUAAUAAAUACCUUAAAGUGUGUGGUAUACAAAUACACCAUCAUAGUGGUCUUUAUUAUUAGAUAUACGCAAAUAGAAAAUUCUCGAGUUCAUGAGAUGUUUAUGAGGAGCUCGGUACCUAAUAAUUGCAGUUUUCUUUAUUCAUUUUUUGGGUCAAAUGUGUGUAACAUAUUACAAUGGGUUCAGUAAUAUGUUGAUGAUGUGUAUACGAUAUAUACUUGGUACUGAAAUAAUAUCACUCUAGCUAAGACAACCUUUAGUACAACUUGUAAAGCAUUCAUAAUAAAGGGAUACUUGCAUCCUAAGUAAAAUUGCUUUAUAAUAUGAACUUGUGGGUCUUAUUUUGUUUAGAAUUUCAAUGAUUUAUUUAUAUUUAGCACGCUCUUGGAUGCAACACUUUUUCACUAAUAAUGUGAUGAUUAAUAUGCAUAGUUUGUGUGUGCGCGGCGCGCACAUGUGUGAGCCUCCACCAUAGGGCCCAAGGGCGUCAUUCUAUUUACUUGGUCCAUGGAUUCACUCUAACCUCAAGGAAACCAAAGUUUGACUACCAUCUUGAUGGGUGGCACCCGUCGACGAGGUGUAGAGGUAGGGAUGCGGCCGGGUGGCCACAUGCUCAAAAUAACAAAGCCUCAUAGUGGUAGUCGGGUUAGCCUGGGAUCAGGUGUGCAGCUGAGGCGUGUUGCCGAUGAAAAAUACGAUCAUGAAGAACAACACAAUGAGCUUGGCCUAGGCCAUGAUGAACCACACGCACUAAAAAGGCAGCAUGAGUAGAUACUCAAUUCUCAAGUCAGGUUGCAGAAUCUCAAAGGUGCAACUGUUUGGGACAUGUUAUGGUCGUAUGUUUACAUAUAGCGCACUUUAGUCAAUGACUAACUACUAGAGCUCGCCUAGUGGAUCAUUUGCCUUAGUCCUGCUCAUGGUGUCAUUAGGAGACUUAUUUCCGUUCGUUUUGGAGAUAGGUGUCCAACUUCUUCAUUCCUAUCAUCAUGAAUUGUUGCUAGUUAGCGUUUUAGAUUGUAAUUUAUGUUGUUGGAUAUUAUACUACUUGCUACAUUGCAUUAAUAAGUGUUUUUUAAAUACUCCCUUCGUUCUAAAAUAGAUGACUCAACUUUGUACUAACUUUAGUACAAAGUUAGUACAAAGUUGGGUCAUCUAUUUUGAAACGGAGGAAGUAUUAAGUAUUCAUUGUAUGUACCUACAAAGUAUUUUAUUGUAUGUGCCUACACGAGGGCCCUAGGACAUUGGAGGCCAGUGCAACCGCACAUGUUGUACAUUCUUAGGGGCCUUUCCUGCCCCUCCCUGCAACUCGAGCUUCACACGGGCCCUCUUCUGGAGGGUGACCCUCUUGAUCGCCAGCAGCUGCUUGGUGGAGCUGUCGCCGACCACCAGCCACUACCCUUCCUCCUUGGUCUUAGGGAACCUGGGGGUGUGAACCGGGCCGACCUCGGAGUUGGGCUUUAUGUCAUCGCCCUCACGGACCUCUUUAGAGCUUUUUCAGUGUCGUUUGGGCAGACUGUAAACCAGAUUCCCAACUCUGUACCUCCUCUGCUUUCUAAGAGUAACAACCAGCAUGUUCCUAUUGCAACUCCCAGGUUACUGCUUGCUCUUUCAGACUCGGUAUCCAGAUCCUCUUAUUGCUCAGACUUGUAAGGGUGACAUCUACCUUGGGCAGCAAAGAAGGAUACACUCAACUCUGAAUCUAUUCCAGCUCUGCCCAUCAUCUUUCACAUUCCAAAUCUGAAGAUUUCUGAACCGGUCCAUCUUUUUGCUCUCCUCGUACACCUAGUCCUAGGUGUAUAAAUAUGUAGCACUCACAGUAAGCAUCCCAAAAGCAGUAAUCAAAUCACUCUUAUAAAUGGAGCAUCACCUCCUCUAAUUUAAAGCAAUAAUCACCCUUGUUUGCUGUUCUGGCAGCCAAGUAAGGUAGGUCAUCUCAUCAUCGCUGUUCGUCGUGAAAGGCGAAAUCAGUCACUGGUUGUCUCUCAGCCCCUGUGCUGUCCAGAUAAAAUAAACAGAAAAAGUUUCCAUUUCCUAUUUUCAGUUAUAAUGUGUAUGCAUCGUGCCGUAUCAAAUUUGAUUAUUGAUACUACAGUGAACGAAUGUCAACUCAUGGAGCUGUAAAUGUAAAUCUGGGAGUUGCCACUUCACGGUGCUGAAUUAAUGGACUCUCUCACUCUUUGGCUUCAGUUAGAAGUGUCUCCGGUACAAAUAUCCGUUACGUAGUGCUACAUGGGUAGGCUGUCAACAAAAUGCUACUGGCCAACUACUGAAUUAUUCAGUUUUGACAUCAGAUGCUCCUAGAAAAAGUAUCAGCCAGUAGGCCAUCCAAGAAUAUAAGAGAAAAACAAACGAAAAAACUGAUACAAACUAUUAGUA
Triticum urartu is the source of this 3242-nucleotide non-coding RNA. NCBI's taxonomy places the organism in Eukaryota, Viridiplantae, Streptophyta, Magnoliopsida, Poales, Poaceae. The record is from RefSeq and is a predicted model, not a curated record.